This 546-nucleotide ribosomal RNA is filed under the name Amesomyces nigricolor. RNAcentral describes it as "eukaryotic LSU rRNA". The stretch from base 177 to 330 matches the Rfam family "5.8S ribosomal RNA". The record is from RNAcentral. Lineage: Eukaryota; Fungi; Ascomycota; Sordariomycetes; Sordariales; Chaetomiaceae.
GCGGAGGGAUCAUUACAGAGUUGCAAAACUCCCAAACCAUUGUGAACGUUACCAUUAUCGUUGCUUCGGCGGGCGGCGCCCAGCGCUCCCAGGCCCCCUCGCGGGGCGCCCGCCGGAGGUUACCUAACUCUUGACAACUGUAUGGCCUCUCUGAGUCUCUAUACUUAAUAAGUUAAAACUUUCAACAACGGAUCUCUUGGUUCUGGCAUCGAUGAAGAACGCAGCGAAAUGCGAUAAGUAAUGUGAAUUGCAGAAUUCAGUGAAUCAUCGAAUCUUUGAACGCACAUUGCGCCCGCCAGUAUUCUGGCGGGCAUGCCUGUUCGAGCGUCAUUUCAACCAUCAAGCCCCAGGCUUGUGUUGGGGACCUGCGGCUGCCGCAGGCCCUGAAAACCAGUGGCGGGCUCGCUAGUCACACCGAGCGUAGUAGCAUACACAUCGCUCAGGGCGUGCUGCGGGUUCCGGCCGUUAAACCCCUUUUUUACCCAAGGUUGACCUCGGAUCAGGUAGGAAGACCCGCUGAACUUAAGCAUAUCAAUAAGCGGAGGA